GGCUGGGGGGGAGUCGAAAGCAGGGAGGCAAAAAGGAAUUCCUGGUGUAGCGGUGAAAUGCGCAGAUAUCAGGAGGAACACCGAUGGCGAAGGCAGGUCUCUGGGCUGUAACUGACGCUGAGGAGCGAAAGCAUGGGGAGCGAACAGGAUUAGAUACCCUGGUAGUCCAUGCCGUAAACGUUGGGCACUAGGUGUGGGGGACAUUCCACGUUUUCCGCGCCGUAGCUAACGCAUUAAGUGCCCCGCCUGGGGAGUACGGCCGCAAGGCUAAAACUCAAAGGAAUUGACGGGGGCCCGCACAAGCGGCGGAGCAUGCGGAUUAAUUCGAUGCAACGCGAAGAACCUUACCAAGGCUUGACAUGAACCGGAAAGACCUGGAAACAGGUGCCCCGCUUGCGGUCGGUUUACAGGUGGUGCAUGGUUGUCGUCAGCUCGUGUCGUGAGAUGUUGGGUUAAGUCCCGCAACGAGCGCAACCCUCGUUCUAUGUUGCCAGCGCGUGAUGGCGGGGACUCAUAGGAGACUGCCGGGGUCAACUCGGAGGAAGGUGGGGACGACGUCAAAUCAUCAUGCCCCUUAUGUCUUGGGCUUCACGCAUGCUACAAUGGCCGGUACAAAGGGUUGCGAUACUGUGAGGUGGAGCUAAUCCCAAAAAGCCGGUCUCAGUUCGGAUUGGGGUCUGCAACUCGACCCCAUGAAGUCGGAGUCGCUAGUAAUCGCAGAUCAGCAACGCUGCGGUGAAUACGUUCCCGGGCCUUGUACACACCGCCCGUCAAGUCACGAAAGUGGUAACACCCGAAGCCGGUGGCCUAACCCUUGUGGGGGAGCCGUCGAAGGUGGGACCGGCGAUUGGGACGAAGUCU
RNAcentral lists this ribosomal RNA (861 nucleotides) under Arthrobacter sp. RNAcentral's name for it is "bacterial SSU rRNA". It matches the Rfam family "Bacterial small subunit ribosomal RNA", at positions 634 to 1488 of the family's 1533-position model. Lineage: Bacteria; Bacillati; Actinomycetota; Actinomycetes; Micrococcales; Micrococcaceae. The record is from RNAcentral.